RNA transcript from Orussus abietinus, 2660 nucleotides. It is a transcript of the gene named J domain-containing protein CG6693, with no coding region annotated. NCBI's taxonomy places the organism in Eukaryota, Metazoa, Arthropoda, Insecta, Hymenoptera, Orussidae. The record is from RefSeq and is a predicted model, not a curated record. The transcript has 2 exons.
UUGGUAGUAGAAGGAGAAGGGUCGGGCAAGGGAAAGAGGGGUUGUGCGUGAGCUGGUAAAUAAAUGACCAGCUAACGCAGGAGCACUCUUCAGUCCGCGGUAAUAAUUAGAUCGGUCCUGUCGACAGCCGCUUAGCUACGUCGAUUUUCAGUUUGUCGAUGAUUAACUCCCGUCAGUAUAUCGAUCGGGCAUUAAAUCACGACUCGAGGCAGAAUAUCGUUGCGUCAGACUCCAAAAUUAAUCCCAAUCGCGUCGGUUUGUAUUUUUCAAUCGGAACGGCUGGCCAUUGUUGCAAUCAUAAUGUGAGAACCUAAAAAGGUGACCUGGUCUACAACACGUACGUGAAAUAUUUACCUUUGGUCACAAAUCGAAGCCCUAGUUCCGGAGCUGAGGAACCAUCCAAUCUCUUCAAAAUGUGGAUCACCACAGGGAUCCUAGGGUUAAUUGCUGGCAUUAGCGGUGUGUUGAGCACCUGCAUUCACGUAAAAAACCAAGAUAUGUUGGAGUACUCAUGCGUUGGAGGACAUCCUUCGGAUUUAAGUGUUCUUCCUGCGGAGACAGAAAAAAUUAGGAUCAGCAAGAUGUCGAUCCCAAGGAUCACGCCAGAAAUUUUUAAUCGUUUCGGGGCAAACCUAUGGGUGUUGUCAUGUUCCGAAUGUGGCAUUUACGAGAUCGACCCGUACGCCUUCGGAAAUUUGUUAAACCUUCAGCAAUUGAGUCUAGACAGUAAUCAUAUAUCCGACGUGAAAGGAAGUUGGUUCGAAGGCCUGAAGUACCUAACGUAUCUCGAUUUAAAUUACAACGAGAUCGCUAACAUCGAGGACACGGUGUUUACGAAUCUGCCAGCCCUGGUGGAUUUGAGAAUUUCCGGAAAUCGGCUUCAGUGCCUGAACGUUGGAGCCAUGUCGCAGUUAACCGACCUUAAGAGAAUGUUUCUGAGCGAAAAUCCUGACUUUAAGUGUCCGAACGCGGUUUCCGAAUUUUUGGAAGAACAAGGAGUAACCUUCGAAAGGGAUCCUGCUUGGAUAUCCGUCGUGGACGAGGUGGUUCCCAAAGGAUAUUCGGCAGCACCCCCGACGACUUCGACCCCAAGUCCUACGCAGCCAGAAAGGCCUCACACGGUAGAGACAACGGAACGUCUGUCGACGCAGAUGCCGAUUCAAUUGGUACCCGAAGAAAAUCGACCGGAAGAUCCAAAGGAACAUUUAUCGGUUUGGGCACCGAGUACGGUAGAACCCGAAAAGAGUUCCCCGUCAAAAUCCACCGAACGCUCCUUUAUUUGGGAACCGAGCUCAACGAGAUCGGAAGAAGCAUCUCCAGUGGUUCCAGAGCACAUCCCGGAAGUCCGUUCCCCGGUCGCCACGGAAUCAACCACCCAGGUGUACACGGAGAGACCUCCCUUUUACUGGACCCCGUUGUUAUCCACCGAAAAACUGUCAUCCACGACGCAUACUUCCAUACAUUCUCUUGCGCCGCUAAUAGAAUUCGUUGACAUUCCUAUUCUGGAAACCGUGACGUUCGAGCCAGCGACGACUUCACCUUCACCCCCUUCGACGACACCGUGGCCGUUCCGACAUUGGUCAACGACAACGCGGGGACCGGACGUCGCUCGGUUGAGCCCAUUUCCACCAUCUGGCUCGAACGAUUUCCACGAAGAGACGACUCAUUCCCAGGAGGUAACCGGGUCGCCGACUUUGGCCACCGGCCCGAAGGAUGAUCGGACGUCGUCCGUUUUCAAAGAGAGCUUCGCAACGCCAUCGGUCCCGGUCGAGCCUCCGUGGUCCGACCUAGAAGACUCUUACGAGGAGUACGACGACGAGAAAAGCGAUGACGGCAACGGCGCAGACUUUUUGAUAGCUUCCACGGAGCGGAGCGAUUACGACACCUUGCCCGAAAUAUUGCUGCCGCCUUUACCCUCGGAGAUGGUACAUCCAGCCUCCUCGGAUGACUUCUACCAGGGGCCGUAUUAUGCCCCCAAAGUGCCGCAUCCAUCGGUUCCGAGGAACGACGACGGCUUCCAGGCUCCGUCCACGACGGCCGUCGAGACGAUAACGACGAGCAUGCCAAUGGACGAGCCGCUUCCGAACUGCCACGGUGGAUCCGAAAACACCAGUGGACCCUUCGGGGUGGUUCUUUCCCUCGCCUUUCUCAUGAUAUUGAGAAGCAUCGCCUCGGAGCACUUGUAACCAUUCGUCAAGAUUCGCGUCCCCGUCGUCGCCCUUUGCAGCCAUGCUUCUCGGCGAGAUCGAUGGAACGACGAGUGGGAGUACGGACUCGAUCAUCGGCCGUCAUUGACGAUAGGACUCUAGAAAAUGGUGAACGGUGCGCGGCAUCGACGAUUAGCGGCGAUCGUCGCUAUCGGCGCAGAGGCGACGCCGUAGACGCAGAAAAGAGACUUAUUUUCGCCUCGCAUCGCGGACAACGUUGACGAUAUUUUUUGAUCGACGCCAAUCGAACGACGAACGAACUCGAGUGCUCGAUUCCGUCCUCUGCUAGGCGCGCCUUAGGCCCGUGAACUCGACGAUGGGCCAAAGAGGAAGCCGAGGCCGAAAAUCUGAACAAGAUGGCGAAGAUCGAAAACGAAGAGAACGCAGCCGAGAACGAUCUUGCCCUGGCGAUCCAAAAUCGCAACAAAGCCCGGGAGGAGCAGGCGAACAGCU